RNAcentral lists this ribosomal RNA (1214 nucleotides) under metagenome. RNAcentral describes it as "bacterial LSU rRNA". It matches the Rfam family "Bacterial large subunit ribosomal RNA", at positions 1731 to 2925 of the family's 2925-position model. The record is from RNAcentral.
AAACUUCGGGAGAAGGUGCGCCCUUUGGUGUGGUCACGUGCGUGACUGAGCAUCGAAGGGUCGCAGUAACCUGGCCGCUGCGACUGUUUAUCAAAAACACAGCACUCUGCAAACACGAAAGUGGACGUAUAGGGUGUGACGCCUGCCCGGUGCUGGAAGGUUAAUUGAUGGGGUCAGCCGCAAGGCGAAGCUCUUGAUCGAAGCCCCAGUAAACGGCGGCCGUAACUAUAACGGUCCUAAGGUAGCGAAAUUCCUUGUCGGGUAAGUUCCGACCUGCACGAAUGGCGUAACGACAGCGGCGCUGUCUCCACCCGAGACUCAGUGAAAUUGAAAUCGCUGUGAAGAUGCAGCGUUCCCGCGGCAAGACGGAAAGACCCCGUGAACCUUUACUAUAGCUUUACACUGAACGUUGAGUUCUUCUGUGUAGGAUAGGUGGGAGGCUAUGAAACCAGGACGCUAGUUCUGGUGGAGCCAUCCUUGAAAUACCACCCUGAAGUGCUUGACGUUCUAACCUAGGCCCGUAAUCCGGGUCAGGGACCGUGUAUGGUGGGUAGUUUGACUGGGGCGGUCUCCUCCCAAAGAGUAACGGAGGAGCACGAAGGUACGCUCAGCGCGGUCGGACAUCGCGCACUGUGUGCAAAGGCAUAAGCGUGCUUGACUGCGAGAUCGACGGAUCAAGCAGGUACGAAAGUAGGUCUUAGUGAUCCGGUGGUUCUGUAUGGAAGGGCCAUCGCUCAACGGAUAAAAGGUACCCCGGGGAUAACAGGCUGAUACCGCCCAAGAGUUCAUAUCGACGGCGGUGUUUGGCACCUCGAUGUCGGCUCAUCACAUCCUGGGGCUGUAGCCGGUCCCAAGGGUAUGGCUGUUCGCCAUUUAAAGUGGUACGCGAGCUGGGUUCAGAACGUCGUGAGACAGUUCGGUCCCUAUCUGUCGUGGGCGUUGGAGAUUUGAGGGGGGCUGCUCCUAGUACGAGAGGACCGGAGUGGACGUUCCGCUGGUGUUCGGGUUGUCAUGCCCAUGGCAUUGCCCGGUAGCUACGAACGGAAGUGAUAACCGCUGAAAGCAUCUAAGCGGGAAGCACGCCCCAAGAUGAGAUCUCCCGAGAGCUUGACUCUCCUAAAGGCACCAUCAAGACUAGGUGGUUGAUAGGUCAGGUGUGGAAGCGCAGCAAUGCGUUGAGCUAACUGAUACUAAUGAGCCGUGAGGCUUGACCA